This 253-nucleotide ribosomal RNA is filed under the name uncultured bacterium. Its description in RNAcentral is "partial 16S ribosomal RNA". It matches the Rfam family "Bacterial small subunit ribosomal RNA", at positions 524 to 776 of the family's 1533-position model. The record is from RNAcentral.
GACGAAGGUGGCGAGUGUUGUUCGGAAUCACUGGGCAUAAAGCGCAUGUAGGCGGUGGCGUAAGUUGGGUGUGAAAUCCCUUGGCCUAACCGAGGAACUGCGCCCGAUAUUGUGUUGUUUGAGGAUCAAAGGGGUGCAUGGAAUUUCCGGUGGAGCGGUGAAAUGCGUUGAUAUCGGAAGGAACGUCGGCGGCGAAAGCGGUGCACUGGUUGGUCUCUGACGCUGAGGUGCGAAAGCCAGGGGAGCAAACGGG